GGCGAGGUAGCUCAGGUGGUUAGAGCGCAGGAUUCAUAACCCUGAGGUCAGGGGUUCAAUUCCCCUCCUCGCUA
RNAcentral lists this transfer RNA (74 nucleotides) under Cytophagales bacterium. RNAcentral describes it as "tRNA-Met". It matches the Rfam family "tRNA". Rfam says of the family: Transfer RNA (tRNA) molecules are approximately 80 nucleotides in length. Their secondary structure includes four short double-helical elements and three loops (D, anti-codon, and T loops). The record is from RNAcentral. Lineage: Bacteria; Pseudomonadati; Bacteroidota; Cytophagia; Cytophagales. RNAcentral also lists the same sequence under 2 other names.